Molecule: ribosomal RNA, 654 nt
Filed under: Triticum aestivum (bread wheat)
Lineage: Eukaryota; Viridiplantae; Streptophyta; Magnoliopsida; Poales; Poaceae
Description: partial small subunit ribosomal RNA
Source: RNAcentral
AUGGGAACUACUGUUGAUCGUUCUGUAAAUGAUGGUAAUGGUCCGAAGAUAUACAAAAUAAACGGGCAGGUUUGUCAUCGAAUGGGAUCUCUGAUGCCUAAGGAAGGAAAUAUCCCCAAGUAUGCCGAACUUUAUAUAUAUGAUACCCAGAAUGAGGUGCAAAACAGGAUUCAGGCUUUAGAAAAGGGUGAAAAGAGUGAUGGUGGUUUAGAUGAAUCUAUUGUUGAAGGCUUGACGCAUAUGCUUGAUACGCACAAUUCUUAUGUCAAAACGUCUAGAUCAGCUAGAGAAAUACUAGCAGCCAAUAGGCAUGCCGAGAUAGCCAUUCAUUUAGUUGCCCCUGGAGAAUCUAAUGGCCCACAGUUUAGCCUCCCUACAACUGAUGAGUUAGCAUCUUUAAUGUUUGGUGAGUUCACGGUGGAGGCUUCUUGUCGUGACAUUAUAAUACCCGGUAGAGAUGACAAUCUGCAGCAAAUAUCUUCUUUGCAAACUUCAUACAUGCCUUUGCAGUAUCCUCUUCUCUUUCCCUAUGCAGAACGUGGGUUUCAGCUCGGGCUUAAAUAUAUUGGUUCAAAUCCUUUAGAUACUAGCAAAAGAACCAGGCUCACUAUGCAGGACUAUUAUUCCUAUUGUAUCCACUAUAGACCAGAGUAG